GGAAAAACUAUCUAAACGAAUUGAAGUUCGAAGUCACGAUGCACAAAUUCCUUUUAUCUCUCUUGCUGUCGGCUGCUGUAAUGUCCAUGUUACUGGAUCAAGCAUGCAGAAUGCAUUAUGUUGCCUGUGAUGACGACGAUGAAUGUGAUUAUGACCAAUAAUACUGCGAUAGGGAUACAAAGACUUGGGACGAUGAAGAUUGUGACGGAGACGACGAAUGUAAACCUGAUCAAUAUUGUGACAACCGUAUGUGGGUAUGCCUUUCUAGGUAAUUUUUUAAUAUUUUGCAGCAUUGUCUCAUUUCUACAGAUACCAUUGGCCACCCG
Styela clava is the source of this 326-nucleotide non-coding RNA. The record is from RefSeq and is a predicted model, not a curated record. NCBI's taxonomy places the organism in Eukaryota, Metazoa, Chordata, Ascidiacea, Stolidobranchia, Styelidae.